CGGUAAUUCCAGCUCCAAUAGCGUAUACUAAAGUUGUUGCAGUUAAAAAGCUCGUAGUUGGAUUUCUGCGGGGACGGAGCGGCCGGUCGCAACUUGCGACUCGAGCUAGCGCUUUCCCCGCAUCCUGCCGCGAACCGUGCUACCAUUAGUUUGGUGGCGCUGGGGAUCGGCUCGAUUACUUUGAGAAAAAUAGAGUGUUCAAAGCAGGCCACACGCCUUGAAUAAGUUAGCAUGGAAUAAUGACUAAGGACUUUGGUUCUUUUCGUUGGUGUUCGGGACUGAAGUAAUGAUUGAUAGGGACAGUUGGGGCGGUCCGUAUUCCAAAGCGAGAGGUGAAAUUCUUAGACCUUCGGAAGACGAACAGCUGCGAAAGCGUUCCGCAAGGAUGUUCCCUUUGAUCAAGAACGAAAGUUGGGGGAUCGAAGACGAUCAGAUACCGUCGUAGUCUCAACUAUAAACUAUACCAGCUAGGGAUCGGCCAACGUUUAAUUAUUCGACUUGGUCGGCACCUUAUGAGAAAUCAAAGCAUCUGGGUUCCGGGGGGAGUAUGGUCGCAAGGCUGAAACUUAAAGGAAUUGACGGAAGGGCACCACCAGCCGUGGAGCCUGUGGCUUAAUUUGACUCAACACGGGAAAACUUACCAGGUCCGGACAUAGUAAGGAUUGACAGAUUGAUAGCUCUUUCUUGAUUCUGUGGGUGGUGGUGCAUGGCCGUUUUUAGUCGGUGGAUGUGAUCUGUCUGCUUAAUUGCGUUAACGGACGAGACCCCAGCCUGCUAAAUAGCGCGGCCGAGCUUUGCUCGGUGCGAGCUUCUUAGAGGGACCAUGAUGCGCGAUAGCACAAGGAAGUUUGGGGCAACAACAGGUCUGUGAUGCCCUUAGAUGUUCUGGGCCGCACACGGGCUACACUGGCGCCUGCAACGAGCAUAUCAGCUGGCCCGAGAGGGUCUUGGCUAAUCUUUGGAACCGGCGCCGUGCUUGGGAUUGACCAUUGCAAUUGUUGGUCAUGCAACGAGGAAUGCCUUGUAAACGCGAGUCAUCAGCUCGCAUUGAAUACGUCCCUGCCCUUUGUACACACCGCCCGUCGCUCCUACCGAUGAAUGUUCCGAUGAAAUUUUCGGAGAGCACCAGAGAACGGGGCUCCGCCUUGCAGAUCUGGAGGCUCAAAGUCACUUAAAUCUGAACAUUUCGAGGAAGGAGAAGUCGUAACAAGGUAGCCG
This 1218-nucleotide ribosomal RNA is filed under the name uncultured Rhizaria. RNAcentral describes it as "SSU rRNA". It matches the Rfam family "Eukaryotic small subunit ribosomal RNA", at positions 577 to 1805 of the family's 1831-position model. The record is from RNAcentral.